This 1063-nucleotide long non-coding RNA is filed under the name Homo sapiens (human). Its description in RNAcentral is "testicular germ cell expressed HSF2 interacting lncRNA". Lineage: Eukaryota; Metazoa; Chordata; Mammalia; Primates; Hominidae. The record is from RNAcentral.
GAAUGUCCGCUUUUCCCCAUUGGGCUUAAGAGGGAAGUUGAGAGAGGGCUUCCGAGUACAGUCCUAUGAGCAAAAACUCAGACAUCUUUGAGCGAUAGAAGAGACAACUGGGCCGGGGGCCAGUUCAGUGCGGACCUACAUUUCAACCACCAUGAUGAAGAUGGGGCCUCCACGUGAAAAGUAACUACAAAACAGAACCAGAAAAUAGUCAUGCUGUUCAAGCCUGUGCUGAGAGUGAAAUGUGUUACUACACGUGCCUCACCUUCAUUUUCAACAGGACCUAUUGCCAUGCUUGAAGACAUCAAAUUGCAGUUGAAGUAACGGCAGAGGGAAAAGCAAGGGCAACAACAACAAACCACUUCACUCCUCUGGGUGGAAACAUGCAAUUGUACCAAGAGGGAUAAGGAAAAAACUGCUCAUGUUUGCAGAAAGAAGUUGGAAUAAGGGCGUGAAAGCAGGCGGGCUACUUUAGCAUCUGAUGCCAGGGAUAUGAGAGAGUAGCCCAGUGUGUUCAUUCAAAAAGUAAGGCUCUGAGGCCAGGACCAGGAAAGAUCCUGGAGUCCCCAGUCACAAUGGCAUGAAGCAGGAUGAUGCAGAGAGGCUAAGGGGGUGAUUCAGUGGGUUCUUUACCUAUAAAAAUGAUGGAAACCCCAACAUCAGCUGGGCAAGUGGCCCUGUUCAGAGCUCCUGGACUCGCCAUGACUAAAACACUCUGUUUUAUUUCGUAGUUGAUAUCUAUUGUUCUUGCCUCCCAGCAAGCAAUGGAACAGCACCUUUACUUUCCUUUGAGAAACUAUUCCUUUCCCAUUCUCAGGGCUUGUGAGGAUCAAGUGAGGUCACAUAAUCCAGAUCUGGCCAAUCAGCCCAUCUCAUGCUACUGGCUACACUAAUUGGUUUAGGGAUAGUAAAGUACUCAAAUUUGUUUACUGAACAUUUAGCCCUGGAAUUUUGGUGAUGGGAGGUGUAGAGGGUAAACUCUUGAUGAUAUCAUUUGUGUACCUGGGUCCAGCCAUGCCUGAACUUUUCAAUUACUUGACCCAGUAAAUUUCCUUAUUCAUUUAAA